GGGGCUCACCGAGGAGAGCGGCGUCGUCGCAGGCCCCGGAGCCGCUCGGGACCCGGGAGGAAGGGACGCCGGGUCAGGCCCACCGGGGCACCUGCGCUCCUUAAUGAGUCUUCUCCGUUUCAGAAAGUGGGACUCCCAGGCCCCCCCGGCCCCCCAGGGCCGCCCGGGAAGCCCGGCCAGGACGGCAUUGACGGAGAAGCUGGUCCUCCAGGUCUGCCUGGGCCCCCGGGACCAAAGGGGGCCCCAGGAAAGCCGGGGAAACCAGGAGAGGCCGGGCUGCCGGGACUGCCGGGUGUGGAUGGUCUGACUGGGCAAGAUGGACCCCCUGGACCCAAGGGUGCCCCUGGGGAACGGGGAAGUCUGGGACCCCCGGGGCCGCCCGGGCUGGGGGGCAAAGGCCUCCCUGGACCCCCCGGAGAGGCAGGAGUGAGCGGCCCCCCAGGUGGGAUCGGCCUCCGCGGCCCCCCGGGACCUUCUGGACUCCCCGGCCUCCCUGGCCCCCCAGGACCUCCCGGACCCCCUGGACACCCAGGAGUCCUCCCUGAAGGCGCUACUGACCUUCAGUGCCCAAGUAUCUGCCCGCCAGGUCCCCCAGGGCCCCCUGGAAUGCCAGGGUUCAAGGGACCCACUGGCUACAAAGGCGAGCAGGGGGAAGUCGGCAAGGACGGCGAGAAGGGUGACCCUGGCCCCCCGGGGCCCGCCGGCCUCCCGGGCAGUGUGGGGCUGCAGGGCCCCCGGGGAUUACGAGGACUGCCAGGGCCACUUGGGCCCCCUGGGGACCGGGGUCCCAUCGGGUUCCGAGGGCCACCUGGGAUCCCAGGAGCACCUGGGAAAGCG
Molecule: small RNA, 837 nt
Filed under: Pongo abelii (Sumatran orangutan)
Lineage: Eukaryota; Metazoa; Chordata; Mammalia; Primates; Hominidae
Description: processed transcript
Source: RNAcentral